AUAGUUUGAAACGUUGCGACAUCGAGAUGUUCACAUCACAGCGCUAUAGCGCGAUUAACAAUAAGAUUUACCUUGACGAAGUCGCAAAAGAUUUAAUCUUUCAUGAAAUGCCUGAAUUUUCAAAUGAGAAAUCAACCAUCAUUCUCGAUUCUAUCCUAACAUAAUUCAAAGGAUUUUUAUUAUUCGAAGGAAUUCAUGAAGAUUUCAAAAAUAUAAUUAACGAUUGUACAAUUUGAUACAGAUACUUGGAAAAUUAGGCUAAGCGAUGCCAGGCUGUGUCAACUUAAAAUAUCGGAUUAUAGAAUAAAGGAUCAUUAACAUGUCUAAUGUCAA
Molecule: long non-coding RNA, 333 nt
Organism: Pogonomyrmex barbatus (red harvester ant)
Lineage: Eukaryota; Metazoa; Arthropoda; Insecta; Hymenoptera; Formicidae
Source: RefSeq, a predicted model, not a curated record